GAGAGUAUAGCUUGGUGGUAAGAGUCUGUGCUUAGCAUGCACAAGGUCCUGGGUUCAAUCCCCAGUAUCUCCA
This 73-nucleotide transfer RNA is filed under the name Camelus bactrianus (Bactrian camel). It matches the Rfam family "tRNA". Rfam says of the family: Transfer RNA (tRNA) molecules are approximately 80 nucleotides in length. Their secondary structure includes four short double-helical elements and three loops (D, anti-codon, and T loops). The record is from Rfam by way of RNAcentral. Lineage: Eukaryota; Metazoa; Chordata; Mammalia; Artiodactyla; Camelidae. RNAcentral also lists the same sequence under 3 other names.